Molecule: ribosomal RNA, 587 nt
Filed under: uncultured bacterium
Lineage: Bacteria
Description: bacterial SSU rRNA
Rfam family: Bacterial small subunit ribosomal RNA
Source: RNAcentral
CCUACGGGAGGCAGCAGUGGGGAAUUUUGGACAAUGGGGGAAACCCUGAUCCAGCAAUGCCGCGUGUGCGAAGAAGGCCUUCGGGUUGUAAAGCACUUUUAUUCGGAGAGAAAUCCCUUGGGCUAAUACCCUGAGGGUCUGACGGUACCGGAUGAAUAAGCGCCGGCUAACUACGUGCCAGCAGCCGCGGUAAUACGUAGGGCGCGAGCGUUAAUCGGAAUUACUGGGCGUAAAGCGUGCGCAGGCGGUUUUGUAAGACAGAUGUGAAAGCCCCGGGCUCAACCUGGGAAUUGCAUUUGUGACUGCAAGGCUAGAGUGUGUCAGAGGGAGGUGGAAUUCCGCGUGUAGCAGUGAAAUGCGUAGAGAUGCGGAGGAACACCGAUGGCGAAGGCAGCCUCCUGGGAUAACACUGACGCUCAUGCACGAAAGCGUGGGGAGCAAACAGGAUUAGAUACCCUGGUAGUCCACGCCCUAAACGAUGUCAACUAGUUGUCGGGAAUUAAAUUUCUUGGUAACGCAGCUAACGCGUGAAGUUGACCGCCUGGGGAGUACGGCCGCAAGGUUAAAACCNCGAAAUGAAUUGACGG